Molecule: unclassified non-coding RNA, 2399 nt
Filed under: Manduca sexta (tobacco hornworm)
Lineage: Eukaryota; Metazoa; Arthropoda; Insecta; Lepidoptera; Sphingidae
Description: kinesin light chain, transcript variant X6
Source: RNAcentral
UAUGACGUCAUUCGUUUACCCCAACAUCGAUACCACUACGAAGGUCGACUAGUGUCGUGACAAAAUCCAAUUCUCAACAGUUCGCAGUGGACUAUUCGCAUUGAAAAUAUAUUUUUACACACAUUUUUAUAGUGGUAACUCUAGUGCAGUGAACAGUGAAGUGAAAUGAGCCACGAUUGUUAACCGCAUUUAUAAUGUCGAAGACUUUAAACGCGUACAGAAUAAAGAAGAUCGAGUCCCUAGGCAGGAUGACGGCGAUGACGCAGGAGGAAAUGGUGGCCGGCGCGCGUACGGUCGCCGCCGGGCUGGAGGCGCUGCGGGCUGAACACGCGCAGCUCCUCGCCGGCCUGGCAGCCAACACCGAGCACGAGCAUGAGAAGGCAGCGCUGGUGAGGAAGAGCAUCGACGCGAUCGAGCUCGGGCUGGGAGAAGCACAGGUAAUGAUGGCCCUAGCCUCCCAUCUGCAAUCAGUUGAGGCGGAGAAGCAAAAGCUUCGCACGCAGGUGCGCCGGCUGUGCCAGGAAAACGCGUGGCUCCGCGACGAGCUGGCCGCCGCCCAGCAGCACCUCCAGGCCUCAGAGCAGAGGGUCGCGCAGUUAGAAGAGGAGAACAAGCAUCUGGAUUUCAUGGCUUCUAUACGCAAAUACGACAGUGACAUGACCGAAGAGUCGGAGAACAACCGCAGCGGGCAGGGCGAGAAGAAGCGCGACGAUCCCAUGGUGGAACUGUUCCCAGACGACGACCACGAGGACAACAGGAAUAACAAAUCGAUGUCCCCAACCCCGCCGAUGCACUUCGCCCAACAAGUGAACGCGGGCUACGAGAUUCCAGCUCGCCUGCGCACGCUGCACAACCUGGUGAUCCAGUACGCGUCGCAGGGACGGUACGAGGUCGCCGUGCCGCUCUGCAAACAGGCCCUCGAGGACCUGGAGAAGACCUCGGGACACGAUCAUCCCGACGUCGCCACUAUGUUGAAUAUUCUCGCGCUUGUGUACAGAGAUCAAAACAAGUACAAGGAAGCGGCCAACCUGCUGAACGACGCGCUAUCCAUCCGCGAGAAGACGCUCGGCGAGAACCACCCGGCCGUCGCCGCCACGCUCAACAACCUCGCCGUGCUGUACGGGAAACGAGGAAAAUACCGCGAGGCGGAGCCACUGUGCAAGCGCGCGCUGUGCAUCCGCGAGGCCGUGCUGGGCCGCGACCACCCCGACGUGGCCAAGCAGCUCAACAACCUGGCGCUGCUCUGCCAGAACCAGAACAAAUAUGAGGAGGUGGAGCAGUAUUACCAGCGCGCGCUGGAGAUAUACGAGAGCAAACUCGGACCCGACGACCCUAACGUGGCCAAGACAAAGAACAACCUCGCUUCUUGCUAUCUCAAACAGGGCAAGUACAAGGAGGCCGAGACUCUUUACAAGCAAGUGCUGACGCGAGCACACGAGAGAGAGUUCGGCACUAUCGACGGUGACAACAAACCGAUCUGGCAGGUGGCAGAGGAACGUGAAGAGAAUAAACACCUUCAGAAGGAGAACGCUCCUUACGGCGAGUACGGCGGUUGCUUUCCAAAGCUGCCAAGGUGGACUCGCCAACAGUGACAACCACUCUAAAGAACCUGGGAGCUCUGUACCGACGUCAGGGCAAGUACAGAAGCCGCCGAGACACUCGAGGACUGCGCCCUCCGCAGCCGAAAGGAGGCGUUGGACAUCGUGAAGCAGUCGCGCGCCCGGAGCGCCCGCCACGGCUCGCGCGACAACAUGGAGCACCACGACCACCACGACGAGGGCACGAACCAAGCGAGCGAGCCACGCAUGAACCUUAAGUCAAAGUUGUUCAAUGCGCUAGGAAUCAACACGGGGAGCAAUGCGCCGCACCAGUAGUGUAGACUUAGGUUUAGACCUAGAAUUAGAUACUAAGUACUCACUCGCUUCACGCGUACACGGUCCUAUAACUCGUCUUGGAAAAGUAUAUGACGAUGGUGCUAUUUUUAAUGUGAACGAUAUAUCAAAAACAAUCGUUUUGAUAUAUUAAAUCUAUCGAUAAACCGUGCUGUACCUGUCGAUAUCGCUUAUCGAUUAGUGAUUAAUUUCCGAUUUAAUAAUGUGUGCAAUUUGAUUAACUUUAAUGAGCCAUCGUUGUACUCUCGUCUGAGAUUUUAUAUUCUCGCUCACUAUUAAAGGAUCAUGUACGUUCACACAUUAUACCGCGCCAUUUUGAAUUUUGCUAUGACAAGAAGGUCAUCGCAGAAUUCGAUGUGUCGUUAUUAAUAGCUUAGUAUUAUUUAUUAGCAUGCGGUAGGUUAAUUUUAUGGAAGAAAAUCUAAAAAAAAAUUACAAAGUGUGAUAGUGAGAAAUUAUUAUCGAAGCAUGCAUGCCGUCCGUGUCGAUAUUGAAAUACGAUGCAAA